Molecule: ribosomal RNA, 228 nt
Filed under: uncultured bacterium
Lineage: Bacteria
Description: partial 16S ribosomal RNA
Rfam family: Bacterial small subunit ribosomal RNA
Source: RNAcentral
GAUCCUGGCUCAGGAUGAACGCUAGCUACAGGCUUAACACAUGCAAGUCGAGGGGCAGCAUGGUCUUAGCUUGCUAAGGCUGAUGGCGACCGGCGCACGGGUGAGUAACACGUAUCCAACCUGCCGUCUACUCUUGGCCAGCCUUCUGAAAGGAAGAUUAAUCCAGGAUGGGAUCAUGAGUUCACAUGCCCGCAUGAUUAAAGGUAUUUUCCGGUAGACGAUGGGGGA